GGGUGGGUAGGUUAAAUGGAAAGACCGGCCGCUUCGGCGGCAAGUGUAGGUUCGAGUCCUACCCCGUCUG
This 70-nucleotide transfer RNA is filed under the name Phycisphaerae bacterium. Its description in RNAcentral is "tRNA-OTHER". It matches the Rfam family "tRNA". From Rfam's summary of the family: Transfer RNA (tRNA) molecules are approximately 80 nucleotides in length. Their secondary structure includes four short double-helical elements and three loops (D, anti-codon, and T loops). Further hydrogen bonds mediate the characteristic L-shaped molecular structure. tRNAs have two regions of fundamental functional importance: the anti-codon, which is responsible for specific mRNA codon recognition, and the 3' end, to which the tRNAs corresponding amino acid is attached (by aminoacyl-tRNA synthetases). tRNAs cope with the degeneracy of the genetic code in two manners: having more than one tRNA (with a specific anti-codon) for a particular amino acid; and 'wobble' base-pairing, i.e. permitting non-standard base-pairing at the 3rd anti-codon position. Lineage: Bacteria; Pseudomonadati; Planctomycetota; Phycisphaerae. The record is from RNAcentral. RNAcentral also lists the same sequence under 1 other name.